UUGGGAAUCCAUAUUCUACAAACCCUGCCAUUCUCAGGAAUCCUCAGGGGAAACUGGAAUAAGAUUGGCCCCUGGUCUCCCUCAGCCCGACCCUUCCCGUUGUGGUAGCAUAACCUUUUCAGGUUCCUUCAGAGCCCUCUGUCUCUUAGGGCAUUCUCUGUUCCAGUGUCCUUCCUGUUUACACCAUGCGCAUUGGUUUUUCCCUAGCUCAGGCCGGAUCCCAGACCCCAGGGAAAACUUCCCCAAUGGCCAGGGGUGGAAGCCUCCUUUUUGUGGGAAGGCUGCUGCAAGCAUAGUCACUUGCUACUUGGCACACUGGUUCUCCUUUCUCUCCUGCACUUGGUUAGAAUAGACCUUGAAGGCUGUUUCUCCCAAUGUGAAAUUCCCAUUCCCAUACUGCCUUCUACUUUCUGUAAUUUCUUUUUUUUUAUGUUGGGGGCACUUUGCCCUAUGAAUAUCGUAUUCACCAUAUGAGCAUUUUCAGGCGCCUCAGGAUCUAGAUCAGUAAAUUGUCUGAAAACCGUGAAAAUUUGUUCAAGGAAGGCAGGUCUUCCUCCCGUUUUUGUUUGAAUUCACUUUGUUUAAAUUCUUUUGUUUGGGUGCCCCAUUUUUGAGCCCAGUGAGCAAGCAGUCAUGGUACUGACUUAAUCUGGCUCAGCCGGCCUGCGUGUUUGAGUCCCAACCUGGUUCAGUGGCCAGUAUCGCCAGAUCUACUGGGGAGGGGGGUGGCCAUCAGCAUUUUACUGGUGGAGCCUAUCUCCUUCUUCACUGGCUUUUUCAAAAACCAUUCUCUCUUCUGGAGUGAGUAAAAUAUCACAUAAGGCUGGACAGUCUGCUCAAUUUGGGUAGUGGGUUUUAAAAAUAGAAGCUAAAGGAUCAUGCAUUCACUUAGGAUCCUUUCGGUAAGUUGGUAGAUUGUUUUUCCAAUUGAAUGAGUCAGAAGUCGUGAAUGGGCUGUGUACCCAGACCAUGGCUGGGGCUUCUGCUGUCCCAUCCUCACCUCCAUCUGACUCGGGGAGUUGCCUCAAUGGGUAUAGCCCUGUUGAGGGUCCUGGUGUCCCCGGACCAAAUUGGGUGCCACUGCGAGCGUGCGCCAGGAAAGCAUCUCAGCACUGGAGGCCUCAGGGACUGACGAAGGGUUUACAGGAUAAGGGGGAGGUCUAUGAUCUCUGGUUAAAACUGGGUCCUCUUUUAGAGGACUAGAUAAAAUGGGUUUUAAACCUCUGUUUGAACCAUGAAUUUACAUUAUUUCUGUAAGCUCUUAUUUUGCCACAGUGACAUUAAAGCUUAAAUAUAUAUUUCUCAUCUUACUUUUCUUCUCUAGUACAAAGAAAGCUGACUUCAGUAUGAUGAUAUAAUUAAGGAUCCAUUUUCAAGCCAGUGUUCACCAUCCCCGAGUUUGUACUGGGGACAGGUGGUAUUACAAAAAAAAUUUCAUUUUAGACUUUUUCAUUGGGUCAUACCCAAAAUAAAAACAAUUCUUCAAAAUACACUCUAAUGGACUAUGUUCCAGAAUGCUCAAAUUAUUUCCCAUGGUACCAAAAUCUGAAACUACAGAUGCCUAUUUAAAAUAAAAGUAUUUGACCUGACCUUCACUGACUAAGCAUUACUGGAAUCUAUAGUCUGUCUACUUUCUACAAAUAGGACUUAUUUCUGUACUCACCAAGGGAGACUUUUUCCUCUUCCCGGGGUGCCUGAUGCCGUUCUCUCCCCUCACAUAGCGCGCCACUGAGGAGUCCGAGGUCAGCUCCAGCCUCAAGAGCCAAAACGAGUCUUUCCCAGAGAAAGGUUACCAAUGUGCACUGGGAGAAGCGGACAGCCCCUGUCAGCUGGAGGCAGUCUCAGGAGCCUGGCAAUGCUGGUCCCAUCUGUGAUUGCCAGAAUUUGCUACCCAAAGCAGGUCCUGCCCGGUGCAGCUUUUCAUCAAUAAAGACACACUGAGAAAGAAGAGGCCCAUCGAGCUGCAUGAAGAAUGCAGGUCUCAGGUGUGGUACAGGGGGAACUAGUCCAGUCCAGGCAGCUGGAGACCUAUCUGUAAAUCGCAGGUCAAGAUUUCAACUGCUCUGACUGGUGUGUGGACCAAACAUUAUUCAUCUGCUUCCAAACUGCCCAGUGCUCUGCUUCCACCGCCAUCUGUCUUCCUGAACUGGCUUCUUUGGCUCAGAGACAAUAUUCCCUUAGACUUCUGGAAGCUAGAGAAGGAAAUGGUGAGUUCUACAGAGAACUGGGAUAUUCUUUCAGUUUGUAGGUGAGACUGUAUAUAAAUUAUUGGGGGACCAACUGUGUGCUGCGGGACUGUGGUUCCUCAAUGAAGAAAAAAGAUGGCAGAAGAGGACAAGGGACUGAGCCCUAGGAAUCAUCCUGAGGUCCUGCUCCACUGUCACUAGGCCAUUCUUCUACACAUAUAUGACUUUUCAAGAUUUGGGUGCCCGGGGUUACCUUCCUUAUGUGACUCUCAGAGCUGGCACCAUGGGGCGUUAAAUUCCCAUUCAGGGCCUUGGUGCUCCAUGUUGAAUGGCAGAGUCUCCUGACCAAAACCUGAAGAUGGUGCAGCUCUGGCUGUGGAGGCUGAGCCCUCCCUCCAGAGCCACACUUAUCCGAUUUCUCUUAACAGUUUUCUUGAUUUCCCCAAGGCACUAGCGCAUUUUCUGUGCAGUUCUAAAACUACAGGUCUCUCUCUCACACAGCACUAUGGGUUAGAAAAGUGGGGAGAGAGUUCAUAGAGAAGGCCCUGAUUGUUUAUGGGGUCCUGAGUGAUGUUGGUGCUUUUCUGACAUCACCAAAGGUAUGAAGCUGUGGACAGUGAGUCCAGCUAGAGCUUGUGUGAGAUCUCCAGACAGAUUUUCCACCCAGUGGGGAAUGUUUUUGCCUUGAGGCUUUCAGAUGUGUGGAAAGCAUGAAUCCCCAACUAAAACAAUUCUCGAAGCCAAUUUUUCAAAGAUUAGACUGGACUAUAGGACAUAAAAUGAUACUGAUAAAGAUUAUGCUUUUUAGCUCAAGUAGAUACAUGAGACUAAAUGGGCAGCUCCUGUCCAGAGGUGAGAUGAG
Molecule: long non-coding RNA, 3048 nt
Organism: Trichechus manatus latirostris (Florida manatee)
Lineage: Eukaryota; Metazoa; Chordata; Mammalia; Sirenia; Trichechidae
Exons: 3
Source: RefSeq, a predicted model, not a curated record